This 46-nucleotide non-coding RNA is filed under the name unclassified sequences. The record is from Rfam.
CGGGAUGCGUCCCGCCGGAAUGUGGCUAACAUAGCUGAACCGUGAA